This is a long non-coding RNA of Poeciliopsis prolifica (blackstripe livebearer), 783 nucleotides long. RefSeq lists it as uncharacterized. Lineage: Eukaryota; Metazoa; Chordata; Actinopteri; Cyprinodontiformes; Poeciliidae. The record is from RefSeq and is a predicted model, not a curated record. The transcript is spliced from 4 exons.
ACUAGAAGUCACCUGGUCUCUGUGUUUGUUCGAUCCUAGGGGUUUUGUCGCCUCAUUCGAGAACUCACCAGUGAAUACCUGCCUGCUCGCUCCGCCGAUUCCACUGCCUCCACUCCACCCUUCGAGCUUCCAGCUCUCUUCCAUUCCCACCUCGCAUUUACCUUCGGAACCGCUGCACACCCUCUCUCAGGAACCUGGCAUCUCACACCCACGCCUCGAAAGACCCGCACCGAAGCUUCAAGAGGAUCAGCGUGUGAAGAUCACUUUAUAAUGAUUUGAAAAAGGUUGCCAUGGCUACAGAAAUUGGAGGAGCAUCCUUAGAUGACAAUACAACCAGCUGUGCGAUUCCUCAUGUCCCAUGAACUGGAAGUCCAGUUCAACCUUUUUGGCCAACAUUGGAAACAAGCUCUUGGACCUGCGUCUCUUUGAUGUUUUGUAUGGAGACUUAAAAGAAAUUAUCCAUCUACAGAAUCACACAAGCAUACAGCAAAGACUCUCGAAGUGGUUUACUGGAGCCCGAGUGGAAGUGGAAAUAGACUAGAGAGACUGCCAGUUUCAAACUCAGGUUGGGGAGGUCUUUCAAGAUGGACAGUUUCAGUAAAGUAUGAGAGAUUUCAAAUUUAAGCAUGCAUAUGGCAUGUAGGUUAUUUUUAAAAAUGUUUGACAAAAAUGUAUUGUGAAAGAUCUAUAUAGGUGUGUAUAUUCACAUUGUGUGUAUCAAUGUGAAUAUACGUGUAUAAAGUUAUAUAGAUAGUAUUUAGAUGUAUACAUUUAUAGACCUGU